RNAcentral lists this long non-coding RNA (387 nucleotides) under Mytilus galloprovincialis (Mediterranean mussel). The record is from RNAcentral. Lineage: Eukaryota; Metazoa; Mollusca; Bivalvia; Mytilida; Mytilidae.
CAUAAUGGCUGUUCACUGUUUAUCUCUAUCUAUAAUAUUAUUCAAGAUAAUAACCAAAAACAGCAAAAUUUCCUUAAAAUUACCAAUUCAGGGGCAGCAACCCUACAACGGGUUGUUCGAUUCAUCUGAAAUUUUCAAGGCAGAUAGAUCUUGACCUGAUAAACAAAUUUAACUCCAUGUCAGAUUUGCUCUUAAUGCUUUGGUUUUUGAGUUAUAAGCCAAAAACUGCAUUUUACCCCUAUUAUCUAUUUUUAGCCAUGGCGGCCAUCUUGGUUGGUUGACCGGGUCACCGGACACAAUUUUUAAACUAGAUACCCCAAUGAUGAUUGUGGCCAAGUUUGGUUUAAUUUGGCCCAGUAGUUUCAGAGGAGAAGAUUUUUGUAAAAG